CAGCCGGGAAGUAGAGUGCAUAUUUUAAGAGUCACGUAACCUGUUUCUCAGAAGCCUUUCUCUUCGCCUUGAGGCCAGAUGACUGAAGAUCGGCUGCAAACAAUUCCUUUUGAAAUGCAAGAUGAUACCACUCUGUUGGAUGAAAGUGAGGAGGAGCUGAGGAGCCUUAUCUCCAAGGUGAAAGAAGAAAGUGCAAAAGUCGGGUUACAGUUAAACAUCAAGAAAACGAAGAUUAUGGCAACCAGACCAAUUGAUAACUGGCAAAUAGAGGGAGAAAAUGUGGAGGCAGUGACAGACUUUAUAUUUCUAGGCGCAAAGAUCACUGCACAUGCAGACUGCAGCCAGGAAAUCAGAAAACGUCUACUUCUUUGGGAGAAGAGCAAUGGCCAAUCUUGAUAAAAUAGUGAAAAGCACACUGGCAACAAAGGUCCGCAUAGUUAAAACAAUGGUAUUCCCCAUAGUAACCUAUGGAUGCGAGAGCUGGGCCAUAAGGAAGGCUGAGCGAAGGAAGAUAGAUACUUUUGAACUUUGGUGCUGGAGGAAAAUCCUGCCUUGGACCGCAAGAAGAUCCAACCAGUCCAUCCUCCAGUAAAUAAUGCCCGGCUGCUCACUGGAGGGAAGAAUAUUAGAGGCAAGGCAGAAGUAUUUUGCCCACAUCAUGAGGAGACAGGAAAGCUUGGAAAAGAUCAUGAUGCUGGGGAAAAUGGAAGGAAAAAGGAAGAGAGGCCGACCAAGGGCAAGAUGGAUGUGUUGUCGACCGCGCUUUAGGGGAUCGGGCCCUUAAGGAGAGUCCCGAUCCGGUCCUGAGAGAACGGACCUUGGCGGAGCCAAUAGGAAAAUAUGAGCCGCAAUAAAACCUGAAGCCGAAAUGAGGAAGGUCCGCCAAAGUUGAAGGAAAAUCCGCCAAUGAGUCUUUAUUGAGUGAUUCAGCUGAAAAGGACUCUAGUAGUGAUCAUUCAGUCUACUAGGGUACCAUAUAACCAAAAUAAAGCCAUAUUUAUACAAUG
This is a long non-coding RNA of Anolis carolinensis (green anole), 1007 nucleotides long. RefSeq lists it as uncharacterized. The record is from RefSeq and is a predicted model, not a curated record. Lineage: Eukaryota; Metazoa; Chordata; Lepidosauria; Squamata; Anolidae. The transcript is spliced from 2 exons.